Molecule: ribosomal RNA, 301 nt
Filed under: uncultured bacterium
Lineage: Bacteria
Description: partial 16S ribosomal RNA
Rfam family: Bacterial small subunit ribosomal RNA
Source: RNAcentral
CAGUCGCCGCGGUAAUACGAGGGGGGCAAGCGUUGUUCGGAAUUAUUGGGCGUAAAGGGUGCGUAGGCGGCUUGACAAGUCUUGUGUGAAAUCUAUGGGCUCAACCCAUAGUCUGCACGGGAAACUGUCGGGCUUGAGAAUGGGAGAGGUGAGUGGAAUUCCGAGUGUAGAGGUGAAAUUCGUAGAUAUUCGGAAGAACACCAGUGGCGAAGGCGGCUCACUGGACGACUGUUGACGCUGAGGUACGAAAGCGUGGGGAGCAAACAGGAUUAGAUACCCCUGUAGUCCCUGUCUCUUAUAC